GAUGAACGCUAGCUACAGGCUUAACACAUGCAAGUCGAGGGGCAGCAUUUUAGUUUGCUUGCAAACUGAAGAUGGCGACCGGCGCACGGGUGAGUAACACGUAUCCAACCUGCCGAUAACUCCGGGAUAGCCUUUCGAAAGAAAGAUUAAUACCGGAUAGUAUACGAAUAUCGCAUGAUAUUUUUAUUAAAGAAUUUCGGUUAUCGAUGGGGAUGCGUUCCAUUAGUUUGUUGGCGGGGUAACGGCCCACCAAGACUACGAUGGAUAGGGGUUCUGAGAGGAAGGUCCCCCACAUUGGAACUGAGACACGGUCCAAACUCCUACGGGAGGCAGCAGUGAGGAAUAUUGGUCAAUGGGCGCGAGCCUGAACCAGCCAAGUAGCGUGAAGGAUGAAGGCUCUAUGGGUCGUAAACUUCUUUUAUAUGGGAAUAAAGUUUUCCACGUGUGGAAUUUUGUAUGUACCAUAUGAAUAAGGAUCGGCUAACUCCGUGCCAGCAGCCGCGGUAAUACGGAGGAUCCGAGCGUUAUCCGGAUUUAUUGGGUUUAAAGGGAGCGUAGGUGGAUUGUUAAGUCAGUUGUGAAAGUUUGCGGCUCAACCGUAAAAUUGCAGUUGAAACUGGCAGUCUUGAGUACAGUAGAGGUGGGCGGAAUUCGUGGUGUAGCGGUGAAAUGCUUAGAUAUCACGAAGAACUCCGAUUGCGAAGGUAGCUCACUAGACUGUCACUGACACUGAUGCUCGAAAGUGUGGGUAUCAAACAGGAUUAGAUACCCUGGUAGUCCACACAGUAAACGAUGAAUACUCGCUGUUUGCGAUAUACAGUAAGCGGCCAAGCGAAAGCAUUAAGUAUUCCACCUGGGGAGUACGCCGGCAACGGUGAAACUCAAAGGAAUUGACGGGGGCCCGCACAAGCGGAGGAACAUGUGGUUUAAUUCGAUGAUACGCGAGGAACCUUACCCGGGCUUAAAUUGCAACAGAAUAUAUUGGAAACAGUAUAGCCGUAAGGCUGUUGUGAAGGUGCUGCAUGGUUGUCGUCAGCUCGUGCCGUGAGGUGUCGGCUUAAGUGCCAUAACGAGCGCAACCCUUAUCUUUAGUUACUAACAGGUUAUGCUGAGGACUCUAGAGAGACUGCCGUCGUAAGAUGUGAGGAAGGUGGGGAUGACGUCAAAUCAGCACGGCCCUUACGUCCGGGGCUACACACGUGUUACAAUGGGGGGUACAGAAGGCGGCUACCUGGUGACAGGAUGCUAAUCCCAAAAACCUCUCUCAGUUCGGAUCGAAGUCUGCAACCCGACUUCGUGAAGCUGGAUUCGCUAGUAAUCGCGCAUCAGCCAUGGCGCGGUGAAUACGUUCCCGGGCCU
Molecule: ribosomal RNA, 1359 nt
Filed under: uncultured bacterium
Lineage: Bacteria
Description: bacterial SSU rRNA
Rfam family: Bacterial small subunit ribosomal RNA
Source: RNAcentral